RNAcentral lists this long non-coding RNA (3764 nucleotides) under Canis lupus familiaris (dog). RNAcentral's name for it is "lncRNA (ENSCAFG00030008319.1)". The record is from RNAcentral. Lineage: Eukaryota; Metazoa; Chordata; Mammalia; Carnivora; Canidae.
AUGAUUUUCUACCAUUCCUCUGAUGGCACAGCUUGCAUGUGGAAACCAGGCCCUCACCAUGUGAUCCUACCUUGUUCAGUUUGGAAAAUAACUCAUAAGAAAGCUAAUUUAAAAAAAAAAAAAAACAGCAGUUUCCUUAAGGCCCCAGAUGGAAUGUCUUCUCAGAAGCAAAGCAUAUUCAUUGCAGAAGAAAAUAAUGAAAUACAGAUCAGUGAAAACAAGAGAAACAUCCAUAAUUCACCCUAUCAAAGACAUCCAUUGUCAUCUUCCAGACUCUUUGUUGUGAAGCGGUCUAGAAGCCUCAGUGGUGAUGUUCCCUGCAAGAAGCUCCGAGUAUGGGAGUUCCUUUCGAGCACCCCAUUCAACCUCACCAUUGCUUUUGUAGCGAAACCAUGUUUGCUGGAACACAGGUGUUAAAAUUCUGUCUUCUUUUACACAGAGGUAAAAGCUUUUGCAAGAUCAUAGCAAGGGUAUUAAUAUUAAUAAUAAUAGUAAUAAGGAUAAGAAGGCAAAGGAGGCGAGGUGGGAAAAAGUUGAAGGACAACCCAGCAAUACAAAGCAAAUCAACAAUACAAUACAAAGCAAUACAAUACAAAUCAAAUCAGCCCUUCUCAUCCUGUUGACAAUUCACCAGUUGCACAAACACUUCUUGCCAGUAUCUAUAUGGGUUAUGCCAACUGACUAAUCUUAAUGGGAAAUAAUGCUUUUUAUAAACCCUUUCUAAUAAAUCUGCUUUCAAGCAGAAGAUCCUCAGAUAUGCUGACCCCCUCAUAUAGUUCUGAGAGGUGAUAUAGAGAUGGAAUCAUAAUCCCAUCAAUGAUAAUCCCAUGGUGAAUUAUUUUGUGAAGAGUAGAAUCUUUUUUUCCUAUUUGAAGACUCUACCACUCACUUUUGAUGUUUCAGUUUGGAUUUCCAUGUAUUUGGUUGUCCCAAAGUAGGAGCCCUAAACUGACAUAUGACCAUCUGUUGUGAUCACAGGGCCCAUCUCCAUUCAUGCUGCUCCCAAAGUACAGGACAGUGAUAUGCCUCUGAUUGUCUCCAGAAAGGCCACUUUAAAUGUGUUUGGCUAUGCCACCAGACAGCAUGGCACACACAUCCUUGGGAUCACAGAUAUUGGGGAAAGAAGAGCUACUUCCCCCAAAAAAGAUUUGUUGGCAUCUCAGCUCAUGAUCCCUCUCUUCUUUUCUCUGUCUGAAUCCUGAAACUUAAAACAAGGUUUACUAUUUAGCCAUUCCUCGAGUAAAUUGCAAAGACCCUACCAUACCUUUGGGCUUCCAUUUUUCUGUUUGACAUCCUUAUUUAUCUAGUUCCAUCUGUGCCUAUAUUCUACUGAGGCUGCAUGUGUGAGGGAGGGAGGGAGGGAGAGAGAGAGAGAGAGAGAGAGAGAGAGAGAGAGAAGUGUGUGUGCAUGCAUGAGUGCACAUGUGUACCCACAUGUAUCUGUGAAUGUGAUGUUUGUGUGUUUCUCUGUAUCCCUUUCCAUUCCUCCCCUAAAUGGCCAUACCAAGAUCGCCUCCCUACUCCUACAAUACAAAGCAAAUACUGAAGCUAGUGAGAGUAUCUAUAUAUGGAGCUUAUUAUGUGUCAGGCAACUCAUUCUCUUUAUAUAUUUUAACUAAUUUAAUCAUCAUAAUAACCCUAUCAAGCUGGUGCUAUUAGCCCCUUUUUACAUAAAAGGCACUGAUACAGAAACUCUUGCAAAUAAAUCCAGGGAAAUGAAAUAAACUGUCCCUGAAAUGCACUCUGUCUUUAGGCCCCCGCGUUUUAGUGUGCGUGAGUGUGGGUGUGAGAUAUGUGCAGACAGAGAGACAGACAGAGAAUAGAGAGUACCUAUGCAAGAAGGUUUGGACAAAGUCCUGUAAAUAAUAAUUCCUCUUUCUACUCCACUGGACACUUCCUAGGUCUUCAUUAGCCUGAGUUACCUUUCCUUCCUUCCUCUAACCCAUUCGACCAGAAGGGACAACAGUGCCGAGCUAAUCUGUUCACAGAGCAUAGGACAGCCUUGGCACCCAGUAAUCAAUCACGUGAAAGUGUUCCUGACACUUCUCUUCCCAGACUCAAGACUGAAACUUGGCAGGCUGGUUGCUGCCUGGCGAGCCACAGGUCUCCACGGUACAUGACUGCCACCUAGAGCUCACACAUAGGAACAGAUUCUGGAUGCAGCAAAACCGAGAACAAAGAAAACCAAAAAGUGACCCCAAAUCUGUCCUAAAGCAAGAUAAUUUGGUCUGAUCAGCUUUUAGAUAAAUCAUAUAAUAGGUCCUAAAAUUAAAUUCCUUUGCUCAAGAUGUCACAUUUCUGAAAAGUGUGCUCUCAUCCAAUAAAAUUGUUAAAAUUAAAAAAGCUCAAGUUUGGCCGUUUUCAAAAUAAGGAAGAAGGGGAAAGAGAGACAGAGACAGAGGGAGAUAACAUGCUUCAAAAAACAAGCCUUUGUGUUUGUGUCCAUCAUCAUCAUCAUCAUCAUCUCACAGCUGAACAAAUUGAAGACCCAAAAGGUAUCGGAUUUCUCUUGGUUCCAUAGCUAGUAAGUGGUGCUGGCAAGAUUGGAAUGCAGGUUUUGUCUGGUCUUUUAUUCCAAAAUGAACUAAUCACAUAGAAGCAAUAUAAAACUUAAAAUUUCUUCCCAAAACAUGGUGGGCGGCCUUUCAACUGCUUCCCUGGCUCCCGCCACACUCCCAGGAGGGAUAUGCCAGUGUGCUGUUCUGUUCAAAGAUCACCAGUUAAGACCUGGUGGAUUUGAGGUCGGCUCCCCGGGAGGGUUGGCUUUGCACUGCUCUGUGUGCACCCUCCCCCAGCAGCACACACCUGUCAGAUGGUGGCUGACUUGGGGGGGGUGGAAUCUGUGAUGGGAGAAUGGGUGAAGAGGCCCAUAUACAAGGGAAAUGGCCACAGAAAAGGCCCCACUAACACCCUGUUCAAAAGAACCUCUUCUCAACCUGGCAGGCAGGAGGAAGUUGUCCUUCAGAAGAGGAGCUGUGACCCAGAUGGAGGCCUGACAGGAAGGGGAGUGUCCUCAGGCAAGGACUUUGUGGUGUAUCUUGUGCCAUGGACCCCUCUGGGAAGUCUGUGGACCCAUCCAUAGAAGAACACUUCCAAAUACAUAAAAAGAAGCACACAGGAUUGUAAAGGAAACCAAUUUUGAGUAAAGAAGUUAUUAAAUUCUUUUAAAGUGUGCGAUUUUGUAUUGCAUCUGUGUCUCAGUCUGCUAGGGCGGCCGUAACAAAAUCCCACAGGCUCAAACAACAGACACGAAUUGCUUGAAGUCCUGAAGUCCUGAAGUCCGGGAAGAAGCUGACAGCAGCUUCCAUUGUGGGGGAAGGCCUGCCUCCAGGCUUGCAGAUGGCUGCCUUUGCCAUAUCCUCACAUGGUAGAGAGAGCUCUGGUGUCUCUUCUUCUUUUUAAAAAGAUUUUAUUUAUUUAUUCAUGAGAGACACAGAGAGAGGCAGAGACAUAGGCAGAGGGAGACGCAGGGAGCCUGAUGUGGGACUUGAUCCCAGGACCCCGGAAUCACAACCUGAGCCAAAGGCAGACGCUCAACCUCUGAGCCACCCAGGUGCCCCUGUUCUCAUUUUUAAGGACACCGGUCUUAUCAUGAGGGCUCCACCUUUAUGACUUCAUCUAAAUCUAAUCACCUCCCCAAAGCCCCACCUUCUAAUACCAUCACUUUAGGGGUUAGAACUUCAACAUAGAAAUUUGGAGUGUGUGUGGGGGGGACACAAACAGUUCAUAACAGUGUUAACUUCUUAUUGAUGCUUUAAACAACA